GCCAGAUAUAAUUUGAGGCCGGGAGGUGUGUAUGUAGUGUAUAUAUAUAUAUAUGUGUGUGUGUGUUGUGACUAAAAGAAGGCCAGCUGAAUCCAGUUUUAAGUUAAGAAAGGAGAAAGGAUAGAACGAGCUCAGUUCCCACUCUGAAUCUCUGGCACUGAGGGCUAAAUUUAAGCACUGGCUAACGUCUGUCCGAGCGGCGACGUCACAGUGGCGCUGCCGAUGUAUAAAACUCAACAGGACUCCAUAGAUACAGCGUGCAACGUAUUUAGAACAAGAAUGGGAUUUAUUGACCAAUAAGAUUCGCUGAUGAGGAAUUUGGCACAAUGGCAGCUGCUGACACUGAGACAGGCCCGACUGCAAGCGAGAGUGAAGAGUUGUGGAACACAUUAACCCCGUAACGUCUCGACGUAUCAUUCAGUUACUCGUCUCAAAGCAAACGACUCAGGAUUUCGGCCACGACUGGAAGACGUCUGGGUAUUUGUGUUCUUCGGUACCGGCAGAGUGUUCAAUUCGAGCAAAGACGAUGUCCAGAUUGUUAACGCUAACUAGCUACGUAACAAAAACGAAAACAGUAAUGGAAGGAGUCUCCAGUAUCAGAACUUUGUAACAAGCAGUGAGUUUGUGAUUUCUCGAUAACACGACACGCAACAUGACUACCUUCAAAAGAGAGGAAAUGAGAGGCUGGCGAGGGAAGGAUUGUUUACAGCUGCGAUAACUUUCAGAAAGUUUGCAUCACACAGACUUCAGAAGAAGGCAUAAGCAAAGCACGUUGAACAUCCAGGAUAAGUGGAACAAACUGGACAUCAGCAGACCCGACUGCCUCGUUCCAGAUAGAUGGAUGAUCAUGUUUCUGUGUUCUGGAAUGUUCUUCUUGGUCGAGUUCCACUCAGCAGGUGAAAGCGGUUAUAACUUGAUUUAAGCUGAAGCUGCCUCGUGUACAUGACGGAAAGUCCUGUAUGUCCACCACACCCAAACACAUCGCUGUUUUUUCUAGGAUG
This is a long non-coding RNA of Ictalurus punctatus (channel catfish), 1001 nucleotides long. Lineage: Eukaryota; Metazoa; Chordata; Actinopteri; Siluriformes; Ictaluridae. The record is from Ensembl.